RNAcentral lists this ribosomal RNA (30 nucleotides) under Dermanyssus carpathicus. RNAcentral's name for it is "partial 28S ribosomal RNA". The record is from RNAcentral. Lineage: Eukaryota; Metazoa; Arthropoda; Arachnida; Mesostigmata; Dermanyssidae.
CUGAAAUCAAGUGUGACGACCCCCUGAAUU